Long non-coding RNA from Rhinichthys klamathensis goyatoka, 416 nucleotides. RefSeq lists it as uncharacterized. The record is from RefSeq and is a predicted model, not a curated record. NCBI's taxonomy places the organism in Eukaryota, Metazoa, Chordata, Actinopteri, Cypriniformes, Leuciscidae. The transcript has 4 exons.
CAGGGCCUCAUCUCAUCCCAGGAAUACAGGAACACUGCUCGUACGCUCUUAGGAAGGCAAAAUCCUCAAGAUACCACUAAGAACAGCUCCCGUUGACCAUAGUGGGAGAUCAAAGAGAUGUCACCGGGGCUGUAAGAGGACGGCUGAGGGCAGUCCAACCAAUCGGCGGCCAGAGGUCGGGGGUAUCCUUCUUCAGGGGCUGAGCCUGGAACCGCUCGCAGUGGAGGCAGUGAAGAAGGAAGAGCCGACCAAAGUCUCUGUACAGGAACAGCCCUGACUGACACGAGACCACCUCUGCUCACUCUCCACAUGUUCUGCCCUGCAAAAUGUGUGAGGGUGAACUCCACCUGCCCUGUCUGGGUCUGAUGGAAAGAAGGCAUGGCCAACAGAUCCACCUGCUCCAUCAAAGGGAUAUC